This 274-nucleotide ribosomal RNA is filed under the name uncultured bacterium. RNAcentral's name for it is "partial 16S ribosomal RNA". It matches the Rfam family "Bacterial small subunit ribosomal RNA", at positions 524 to 795 of the family's 1533-position model. The record is from RNAcentral.
CACGUAGGGGGCAAGCGUUGUCCGGAUUUAUUGGGCGUAAAGAGCUCGUAGGCGGUUCGGUAAGUCGGGUGUGAAACCUCCAGGCUCAACCUGGAGACGCCACCCGAUACUGCUGUGACUCGAGUCCGGUAGGGAGCGUGGAAUUCCCGGUGUAGCAGUGACAUGCGUAGAUAUCGGGAGGAACACCAAUGGCGAAGGCAGCUUGCUGGGCCACACCGUGACGUUAAGGUACGAAAGCGUGGGGAGCGAACGGGAUUAGAGUACCGAGUACGUC